GAUUGAUGAUGGGGGCAUUGGCUCAUGAGGAGAUUAAAGAGUUCCCAUAUUUCAUGGAAGGAUUCACCAUUCUGUUGUGUGAAAAAGUAAAUCUUACCCCUUAACUC
Molecule: small nucleolar RNA, 107 nt
Organism: Neltuma alba
Lineage: Eukaryota; Viridiplantae; Streptophyta; Magnoliopsida; Fabales; Fabaceae
Source: RefSeq, a predicted model, not a curated record